Molecule: ribosomal RNA, 687 nt
Filed under: uncultured marine alpha proteobacterium
Lineage: Bacteria; Pseudomonadati; Pseudomonadota; Alphaproteobacteria
Description: bacterial SSU rRNA
Rfam family: Bacterial small subunit ribosomal RNA
Source: RNAcentral
UUUUCAGUGUCGCAGCGAAAGCGAUAAACACACCGCCUGGGGAGUACGACCGCAAGGUUAAAACUCAAAUGAAUUGACGGGGACCCGCACAAGUAGUGGAGCAUGUGGUUUAAUUCGAAGAUACGCGCAGAACCUUACCAACACUUGACAUGUUCGUCGCGACUCUAAGAGAUUAGAGUUUUCGGUUCGGCCGGACGAAACACAGGUGCUGCAUGGCUGUCGUCAGCUCGUGUCGUGAGAUGUUGGGUUAAGUCCCGCAACGAGCGCAACCCUUACUUUUAGUUGCCAUCAUUUAGUUGGGCACUCUGAAAGAACUGCCAGUGAUAAGCUGGAGGAAGGUGGGGAUGACGUCAAGUCCUCAUGGCCCUUACGUGUUGGGCUACACACGUGCUACAAUGGUAUCUACAACAGGAAGCAAGAUGGCAACGUUAAGCAAAUCCCAAAAAGAUACCUCAGUUCGGAUUGCACUCUGCAACUCGAGUGCAUGAAGCUGGAAUUACUAGUAAUCGUGGAUCAGCGUGCCACGGUGAAUACGUUCCCGGGUCUUGUACACACCGCCCGUCACACCAUGGGAGUUGGUUCUACCUUAAGGCAAAGUUUAAAACCUUUGACCACGGUAUAGUCAGCGACUGGGGUGAAGUCGUAACAAGGUAGCCGUAGGGGAACCUGCGGCUGGAUUACCUCCUU